CAAUUUUUCGAGCAUUCAUUCUUCUAACCUAUAAAAAAUAUACAUUAAAUAUUUACCUAUGAAAAGUAACACCUUCUGCUCCGUAGAGCUUAUGGCAAAUGCAGCAGGAACGUACCAUAUUAUUUAAUCGUAUACGCAGCAUAUACGAAGUAACCGAAUAAAAUUGGCGAUGUCACGUUGCUUUCUCCUCAUCUCGUAUACGCAUGCUCGCUUCGUUUCCAUCUUAUCCCUUCAGUUCCCACCACGAGACGAAAGAGAAGGACAGAGAGUCCCGGAAUCAUCUCUCUAUCCUUUAGAUCUUUCAACGCUACUUCUUACGGUAGGGGCCAGUCUAUUCUAUAAGUCUAUGGGUCCAUGCGAUUGCGUAAUUACAUAUGGCGAUUGAUAGCGAUAUUGUAAAAAGUGUCAAAAUAGGAAGAGUCAUAAUGGAAGAGUCAUUGAUGAUUCACUACUAUUACUGUCACUCAUUUCAUCAAUUAAAAACAUUGUCACAUUGAUAGCGCAAUUUAUUGUGGAAUCCAUUUUGAUUUUCUGCUUCUAAUGCGUUCAAUAUCGUUCCGUUUCAAAGCAUUUAUCAUGCGCAUAAUGAAACGAAACGCAGCCAAUGCGCUAAGCAUUAGCGAUGCGAAUGAUGCGUGCUAUGCGCAAAACGGAACGCAACCAAAGACACAUGACUGACACCAACCCAGCGAACCUAAAUUGACAUACUGUGAUUAUUGUAAACCUGAUUUCUUAUAUACUGUGUUUAAAAAAAAUGGGUAGUUGUAAAAUUUGUGGUCGAUCAAAAUCGAAAUCCAAAAAUACAUCUAUAACUUUUCACAUGUUUCCUAAAGAUCCAGAAAGACGGAAGAAAUGGAUACAAUUUGUUGAUCACCCAGAUUGGGAACCAACAAAUUACAGUUUGUUAUGUUCUGUUCACUUUACAAGUGAUGAUUUUGAAACGAAUACAGGUACGAGAAGACGAUUAAAAUCUGAUGCAAUUCCUUCUGUGCACAUUCAGCGAAUCAAAUAUACACGGAAUUUUGAUACAGAGAUCUGUGAUUCUUUUAAAGACAAUAAA
This is a non-coding RNA of Linepithema humile (Argentine ant), 1060 nucleotides long. The record is from RefSeq and is a predicted model, not a curated record. NCBI's taxonomy places the organism in Eukaryota, Metazoa, Arthropoda, Insecta, Hymenoptera, Formicidae.